GGACCACAAGCUCUGCGAAGAGUUGCUGAGGUAGCUGGGUUUGUUUAGCCUUGAGAAGAGGAGGCUCAGAGGGAACCUCAUCACUCUACAACUCCCUGAGAAGAAGCUGUAGUGAGGUGGGUGUUGGUCUCUUCUACUGUGCCUGCAGUGAGAGGACCAGAGGAAAUGGCCUU
Corvus hawaiiensis (hawaiian crow) is the source of this 173-nucleotide long non-coding RNA. RefSeq lists it as uncharacterized. Lineage: Eukaryota; Metazoa; Chordata; Aves; Passeriformes; Corvidae. The transcript is spliced from 3 exons. The record is from RefSeq and is a predicted model, not a curated record.